Molecule: ribosomal RNA, 253 nt
Filed under: uncultured bacterium
Lineage: Bacteria
Description: partial 16S ribosomal RNA
Rfam family: Bacterial small subunit ribosomal RNA
Source: RNAcentral
UACGGAGGGGGCUAGCGUUAAUCGGAAUUACUGGGCGUAAAGCGUGCGCAGGCGGUUAUAUAAGACAGUUGUGAAAUCCCCGGGCUCAACCUGGGAAUUGCAUCUGUGACUGUAUAGCUAGAGUACGGUAGAGGGGGAUGGAAUUCCGCGUGUAGCAGUGAAAUGCGUAGAUAUGCGGAGGAACACCGAUGGCGAAGGCAAUCCCCUGGACCUGUACUGACGCUCAUGCACGAAAGCGUGGGGAGCAAACAGG